Molecule: long non-coding RNA, 602 nt
Organism: Dermochelys coriacea (leatherback sea turtle)
Lineage: Eukaryota; Metazoa; Chordata; Testudines; Dermochelyidae
Exons: 3
Source: RefSeq, a predicted model, not a curated record
AACAGGGGAGUUUGGAUUGUGGUGCUUGUUUGGGGUUUGCUUUUGCUGGGGAGGAGGAGGGUGUGGUCUUUUUUGUGUGGCGUCUGUCUCCAGAUUAACAGGAUUUAAGUGAGAAGGAGAUGACAGAUACAGAGGCAGCUGUGGGAGUGACUCCUGUAGUGAAAGACACAUUGAGGAUGACUGGAUGUGGAAGCUGUGUCAUUUCCUUAGACUGAAACAGGAAGCAUGAGAAAAAGGUUCUGCAGCAGUAACUGACUACAUUAAUUCUUCAAUGGAAAUUAAUGGGAAGAAUAUAACAAGAAUAAAGACAUAUACCUGAAGAUAAAAUAAUCAUUUCCCAAUUUCAAUUCUGACUUGACUGGAGUGGCCACUAUGUCGCAAAACGUUACAGCACUCAUUUUUGAAAGGGAAAAGAAAAUCCUCACCGCUGCCCUUAUUUCAAACUGCUGUUUUACAAGAUUGCACGCACUUCACGCAGGGCCUCAUUUUCAAAAGAGCAAGGGACUGAUGUAGCCAGCAUCGCAAGAUAUUUACGUGCCAGAUGCACUAAAGAUUCAUAUGUCCCUUCAUGCUUCAACCACCAUUCUAGGAGACAUGUGUCC